Long non-coding RNA from Ruditapes philippinarum (Manila clam), 436 nucleotides. RefSeq lists it as uncharacterized. The record is from RefSeq and is a predicted model, not a curated record. Lineage: Eukaryota; Metazoa; Mollusca; Bivalvia; Venerida; Veneridae. The transcript is spliced from 3 exons.
CACGCACAAACCAUCGUUGCCGUAGCCUACCAAACACAGGUUUCUCACCCGAAUGCUUCCAUGUGUGCCGAAGUACAACACACCUCCAACGAAGCGUUUGUUCUCACGGAAUGCGAUGUACCGCAUACAUCAAGCACAUGGAAACAAGGAGUUAAUGUUAUGUCACGUUGUGCAAGCUCGAAUCCUUUACCUGACAAUACACCUAUAGCAAGCUUUGACCAUGGAAUUUAUUCUUCAGUUGGUAGUCUCUCUGGGGUAUUUCUAGGAUGUACAAGUGAUGGGUUCAAGAUUGCGUUCCAAACAUGUGGACAGUCACCUGAAAUAACCGAACUUCUGCAGGGUCAUCACUUUAACCAAAAUCCUGUCAAUUAUUUUACAAUAUCUUAGAUAUCUGAAAUGAAUAAAGAUUGAAAUAAAAAAGAAACCAUAGCAAAAA